ACGGAGGGUCCAAGCGUUAUCCGGAUUUAUUGGGUUUAAAGGGUCCGCAGGCGGGAAAAUAAGUCAGUGGUGAAAGCCUACAGCUUAACUGUAGAACUGCCAUUGAAACUGUUUUUCUUGAGUAUAGAUGAAGUGGGCGGAAUGUGUCAUGUAGCGGUGAAAUGCAUAGAUAUGACACAGAACACCAAUUGCGAAGGCAGCUCACUAAACUAUUACUGACGCUGAGGGACGAAAGCGUGGGGAGCGAACAGG
This 252-nucleotide ribosomal RNA is filed under the name uncultured bacterium. RNAcentral describes it as "partial 16S ribosomal RNA". It matches the Rfam family "Bacterial small subunit ribosomal RNA", at positions 525 to 776 of the family's 1533-position model. The record is from RNAcentral.